RNAcentral lists this ribosomal RNA (818 nucleotides) under uncultured bacterium. Its description in RNAcentral is "bacterial SSU rRNA". It matches the Rfam family "Bacterial small subunit ribosomal RNA", at positions 97 to 929 of the family's 1533-position model. The record is from RNAcentral.
GGCGAACGGGUGAGUAACACGUGAGCAAUCUGCCCUUGACUCUGGGAUAACUGCGGGAAACUGUAGCUAAUACCGGAUGCGGCACCUUGGGGCAUCCCGGGGUGUGGAAAGAAUUUUGGUCAAGGAUGAGCUCGCGGCCUAUCAGCUAGUUGGUGAGGUAAAGGCUCACCAAGGCGACGACGGGUAGCCGGCCUGAGAGGGUGACCGGCCACACUGGAACUGAGAUACGGUCCAGACUCCUACGGGAGGCAGCAGUGGGGAAUAUUGCACAAUGGGCGAAAGCCUGAUGCAGCAACGCCGCGUGAGGGAUGAAGGCCUUCGGGUUGUAAACCUCUUUUAGCAGGGAAGAAGCGAAAGUGACGGUACCUGCAGAAAAAGCACCGGCUAACUACGUGCCAGCAGCCGCGGUAAUACGUAGGGUGCAAGCGUUGUCCGGAAUUAUUGGGCGUAAAGAGCUCGUAGGCGGUUUGUCGCGUCUGCUGUGAAAAUCCAAGGCUCAACCUCAGACCUGCAGUCGAUACGGGCAAACUAGAGUGUGGUAGGGGAGACUGGAAUUCCUGGUGUAGCGGUGGAAUGCGCAGAUAUCAGGAGGAACACCAAUGGCGAAGGCAGGUCUCUGGGCCAUAACUGACACUGAGGAGCGAAAGUGCGGGGAGCGAACAGGAUUAGAUACCCUGGUAGUCCGCACCGUAAACGGUGGGCACUAGUUGUGGGAACCUUCCACGGUUUCCGCGACGCAGCAAACGCAUUAAGUGCCCCGCCUGGGGAGUACGAUCGCAAGAUUAAAACUCAAAGGAAUUGACGGGGCCCCGCACAAG